AGCUUGACAUCUCACAUCUACCAAUCC
Molecule: non-coding RNA, 27 nt
Filed under: Rattus norvegicus (Norway rat)
Lineage: Eukaryota; Metazoa; Chordata; Mammalia; Rodentia; Muridae
Source: RNAcentral